GAUGAACGCUGGCGGCGUGCCUAAUACAUGCGAGUCGAGCGAACGGACGAGAAGCUUGCUUCUCUGAUGUUAGCGGCGGACGGGUGAGUAACACGUGGAUAACCUACCUAUAAGACUGGGAUAACUUCGGGAAACCGGAGCUAAUACCGGAUGAUAUUUUGAACCGCAUGGUUCAAAAGUGAAAGACGGUCUUGCUGUCACUUAUAGAUGGAUCCGCGCUGCAUUAGCUAGUUGGUAAGGUAACGGCUUACCAAGGCAACGAUGCAUAGCCGACCUGAGAGGGUGAUCGGCCACACUGGAACUGAGACACGGUCCAGACUCCUACGGGAGGCAGCAGUAGGGAAUCUUCCGCAAUGGGCGAAAGCCUGACGGAGCAACGCCGCGUGAGUGAUGAAGGUCUUCGGAUCGUAAAACUCUGUUAUUAGGGAAGAACAUAUGUGUAAGUAACUGUGCACAUCUUGACGGUACCUAAGCAGAAAGCCACGGCUAACUACGU
RNAcentral lists this ribosomal RNA (496 nucleotides) under uncultured bacterium. RNAcentral describes it as "partial 16S ribosomal RNA". It matches the Rfam family "Bacterial small subunit ribosomal RNA", at positions 28 to 506 of the family's 1533-position model. The record is from RNAcentral.